Molecule: ribosomal RNA, 464 nt
Filed under: uncultured bacterium
Lineage: Bacteria
Description: bacterial SSU rRNA
Rfam family: Bacterial small subunit ribosomal RNA
Source: RNAcentral
AUUGAACGCUGGCGGCGUGCCUAACACAUGCAAGUCGAGCGGUAACAGGUGUAGCAAUACAUGCUGACGAGCGGCGGACGGGUGAGUAACGCUUGGGAAUCUGCCUGUUAGUGGGGGACAACCCGGGGAACUCGGGCUAAUACCGCAUACGCACUACGGUGGAAAGCCGGGGACCGCAAGGCCUGGCGCUAACAGAUGAGCCCAAGUCGGAUUAGCUAGUUGGUAGGUAACGGCCACCAAGGCGACGAUCCGUAACUGGUCUGAGAGGACGACCAGUCACACCGGAACUGAGACACGGUCCGGACUCCUACGGGAGGCAGCAGUGGGGAAUAUUGGACAAUGGGCGAAAGCCUGAUCCAGCGACGCCGCGUGGGUGAAGAAGGCCUGCGGGUUGUAAAGCCCUUUCGGUGGGGAAGAAAGUCUCGACCUAAUACGUCGGGACCUUGACGUAACCCACUAAAGAA